AACGAACGCUGGCGGCAUGCCUAACACAUGCAAGUCGAACGAGACCUUCGGGUCUAGUGGCGCACGGGUGCGUAACGCGUGGGAACCUGCCCUUAGGUUCGGAAUAACUCCCCGAAAGGGGUGCUAAUACCGGAUAAAGUCUUCGGACCAAAGAUUUAUCGCCUUUGGAUGGGCCCGCGUUGGAUUAGCUAGUUGGUAGGGUAAAAGCCUACCAAGGCGACGAUCCAUAGCUGGUCUGAGAGGAUGAUCAGCCACACUGGGACUGAGACACGGCCCAGACUCCUACGGGAGGCAGCAGUGGGGAAUAUUGGACAAUGGGCGAAAGCCUGAUCCAGCAAUGCCGCGUGAGUGAUGAAGGCCUUAGGGUUGUAAAGCUCUUUUACCCGGGAUGAUAAUGACAGUACCGGGAGAAUAAGCGCCGGCUAACUCCGUG
This 433-nucleotide ribosomal RNA is filed under the name uncultured bacterium. RNAcentral describes it as "partial 16S ribosomal RNA". It matches the Rfam family "Bacterial small subunit ribosomal RNA", at positions 29 to 507 of the family's 1533-position model. The record is from RNAcentral.